AACGGUAACAGGAAGAAGCUUGCUUCUUUGCUGACGAGUGGCGGACGGGUGAGUAAUGUCUGGGAAACUGCCUGAUGGAGGGGGAUAACUACUGGAAACGGUAGCUAAUACCGCAUAACGUCGCAAGACCAAAGAGGGGGACCUUCGGGCCUCUUGCCAUCGGAUGUGCCCAGAUGGGAUUAGCUAGUAGGUGGGGUAACGGCUCACCUAGGCGACGAUCCCUAGCUGGUCUGAGAGGAUGACCAGCCACACUGGAACUGAGACACGGUCCAGACUCCUACGGGAGGCAGCAGUGGGGAAUUUUGGACAAUGGGCGCAAGCCUGAUCCAGCAAUGCCGCGUGAGUGAAGAAGGCCUUCGGGUUGUAAAGCUCCUUUGUCAGGGAAGAAACGGUGAGGGCUAAUAUCCUUUGCUAAUGACGGUACCUGAAGAAUAAGCACCGGCUAACUACGUGCCAGCAGCCGCGGUAAUACGUAGGGUGCAAGCGUUAAUCGGAAUUACUGGGCGUAAAGCGUGCGCAGGCGGUUAUGUAAGUCAGAUGUGAAAUCCCCGGGCUCAACCUGGGAAUGGCAUUUGAGACUGCAUGGCUAGAGUGUGUCAGAGGGGGGUAGAAUUCCACGUGUAGCAGUGAAAUGCGUAGAGAUGUGGAGGAAUACCGAUGGCGAAGGCAGCCCCCUGGGAUAACACUGACGCUCAUGCACGAAAGCGUGGGGAGCAAACAGG
Molecule: ribosomal RNA, 722 nt
Filed under: uncultured Gammaproteobacteria bacterium
Lineage: Bacteria; Pseudomonadati; Pseudomonadota; Gammaproteobacteria
Description: bacterial SSU rRNA
Rfam family: Bacterial small subunit ribosomal RNA
Source: RNAcentral